CAGUCCCUCCAAAUCACUAAGUCCUCCGUGUUCUUACCAUUUGUACGUUUGUGCUAGAAAGUGAAAAAUCUGUAGUGAUGUACGAUGGAACAGACUCCAAAGAAUGAAUGAAAUUCUCUCAUUUUACACUUGCAAAAGACAAAAGGAAAAUGCAUUUGUGGGCUUUUGUGCAUCUGACACCCCAGGGAGCGAGGAGAAAGCAGGCCACCCGCCCCCGAGCACUACACCUCCUGUGACACCUGUGACAACAGCUUCUGGAAACAGAAAUACAGAUCACCAACCCGAGGAUGAUGUUGGGGCGCGGUGACUCAAGACCUGAAAAACAAAACAUUCGUGCAGAGUUCAGAAUUUAACGUCGGCCUUUAUUCUCCAGACGUAAACCCUGUCAAGGGCAGUGAUGGGGCACGUUUCAAUAGGAAGGAGGAAGAAACUCGCUGGCAAAACACAAUCGAGUGUUUGAACAGCUUAUUGCAAACAAAAGACCCCGGGGCACACCGUCACCUCCGCCGUCCAGCCCCCACGUCACAGCCACAGAACCCAGGGCCCAGUUCAUGAGUCAAGUCAUCCCAAUGAGCAGAGCCUACGUUACAGAUUUAAAGAUCAGAUGUAAUUAAAGCAAUGGCAUGACGGAGGAGGCCGGAGACGCCAGCGUGCAAACAUCAGCAUCUGCUGACCUAUAAGAGAUGAAGCAUGUACGCACCAGAACUUUUUUUUUUUUUUUUAAACAAAAUCUUAGCUUUGUUCUUUUACUUGCCUCUCACUACACAUCAGAAAGGUAACAGCCCUUCCUGGAACUCACGCACUGCGCUACAUAAUUCAAGCUACACGUACGAGUACCGAAGGUUCCAUCAGGGAGCAGUUCCACGGCUUGUUUGCAACGAUCCCCUCAGCACGUGCCAUUAGGGAAGGUCACCCAGCUGCUGGCGUCACAGUUACAGUUAAUGGGAAAGACCAAGCUGAAUGAAAGGGCUAUGAUAAACACCCUUGUAGGUUUUAUUAGGGAAUUCCGUUAACAUCAACAAGGGCCAAGUCCUGCUCAGUCUCUGUGAACACGGGACAGGGUGCUUAAAGACAAGGGCGGGGUGUUCCGUGAAGAGCAGGCCGCAUGGAAAAGUUCCUGGGCACAGGAUGGUUCUUAAAAAUACCCAUUUCUUAAAUAAAAAAGGCUUACUCCGUCCUAAACUGUGCGUUUUAUCAAGGGUGUUAAUAGUUCGGUAACCACACUCACAAUAAGUCCAGAAUACCAAAAGAGGGACGACAACAACAAAACCCUGCCACCCCAAGUCACAAAGCAGUAAUUUUAGGGACAAAUGACAUACAAAGAACAAAAACUUAUGUCACUAGCAUAUUUAAAAUCAGAUCGUAUAAACUCAACUGAUAACAUCACCGUAGAAUGUGGAUGUUUAUGCACGUGGUACGUAUACGUUCUCGACUUACUAAAAAUCAGUAGUUUCCCUAUUCCUUUUGGUUUUAAAGAUGAUCACAAGUCACUUGAAAUAGUUCUCUGUGGGUGCCAUCAUACAAUUCUCAAACGUCUGUUAACCUCCCUAAAUUCCGACAGAGAUGGGUUGAUAGGUUGAGCACUCGAGGGUUGGUGGAUGGCCCGU
Long non-coding RNA from Acinonyx jubatus (cheetah), 1607 nucleotides. RefSeq lists it as uncharacterized. The record is from RefSeq and is a predicted model, not a curated record. NCBI's taxonomy places the organism in Eukaryota, Metazoa, Chordata, Mammalia, Carnivora, Felidae. The transcript is spliced from 3 exons.